CUCAGAUCCAUCUCCAAGUCUUGAAACAAAUCUGAACAUUUUUUCUUUGAAUGCAAAAUACAAAAUGUCUGUGAAAGCUCAACUCUUAGUCACCAGGGAAAAACACAGGUUUUUUUGGGUAUCAGAACCUCCACUGCAGUGUACAAACUGAAGCGUGCUAUUUUAGUUUGUCUUCAUUAAUGCUACAAUGAGCAUUUUUCUUAUUAAAGAGGGAAAAAAAAUUAAAGGAGUGCUUGUACAAUAAAACAUUCUCACACAGCUAUCUGUGCACCAUAAGCUGUUUGUAAAAUAGGGACUCAUGGCCAGAAGUAUGAUAAAACUCAUCAAAAGCAGUUUCAUCCUGUGGCAAAAUGUCUUUUGUCACAACUAAAUAAAUGUUUUGGCAGAACAAGAAUGACAAGACAACCAGACCCCAGGGCAAAGCUGUGAUGAAGGCAGGAGACCUUGUGGAUAUAAAGUAGCUGCCAGCCAAAGAUGGGGAGUGUCUUGUCCAAAGUCCACUUCCAUGUGGAAUAACUUAUCCUGACCUUAAAUGUAUCCCAGCUAUGAAACGAGUCCUUUACUUAUUCGGUGACUUGAGAGUAUCUGCAUUUCAUGCUUUGCAGGGCUUUGCUUUUACAGUUUUUAAAAUUCUUGUUCUCCAUACUAAGCAAAAGUCUAAGCGAAAGCCUGUCACAUUUUAAGCAGCGGCUGUUUAAAAUUCCAGUCAACGGUUGACUUUUGAUGUGAUAUUUUUGCUCUGAAAUUCCACUAUAUAACUACUUACUGCACUAUAUCAAGUAAAUGCUUGCUGGACACUUCAAACCUAAUCAUUUUGAUCCACCUUAAUCAAGAUUUGUCUAAUCUGUCCAACUCCUUGGCAAAUGCUACAGCCAGCAAUACUAAUAUGUUAAUGUAUAUAGCUCUGCUCUAUGUAAUGCUGUCUCAGUUUAGGAUCUUCAAGAAAAAUACAAGAAAUACACUGCAUGGUCUGCCUUCUGUUGGUGUUUCAACUCUACUGGCUUCAUCGAGGCUCUCAGACCAGGGAGGAAUAACAGGAUUUGUGCAAAGACAGGUUUCCAGCACACUGGCUGACUGCCCCUGCCCAUGGAUCUCACUGCCUACAGCUUAGGCAAAAUGAAGAGUUUGGCUCCUGCCUGGAAUGAGGUAUGAGAAUUAUUUCUAAUUACUUGGUGACUGGGCUGUCUCCUACCUUUCACAACAAAUUCUCAACUCCUCCUUCACAGCAAACUUCCCCCCUGCAUACAUUACUUAUGGCACUGUCAGGGGUGCAUUUAUAAAGCAGUUCUCACUCUUAAAAGCACCAAGCAAUACUCAGUGGAUAGUUAUACUUCAAGCAUAUUUGGAAGUGAAAUUUUUUGUAGAUGAAUUUGUGUGGCGAAAAUUUCGUACCCAUCCUGCCAUCCAGUAAGUGCAAGUUCUGGCUUUCUGGUAAGGGGUUUUGUUUUGCUGACACAUUUACAGAGCUGAGAGGCAGCUGAAGACCCCACUCUGUUGGCUGAUGGCUUUCUCCUUUCUUCUGUAGCACACUUUUCUCUCUAGUGUAAAACAAUUCAAACUGUUGCUGAAGCUAAUUUUAACUAACAUGGCUUACGUGCAUUGAAAUGGAGGAGAGUUAGUUGCCCAUCUUGGCAUUACUGAG
This 1642-nucleotide long non-coding RNA is filed under the name Anas platyrhynchos platyrhynchos (common mallard). RNAcentral describes it as "lncRNA (ENSAPLG00000018045.1)". Lineage: Eukaryota; Metazoa; Chordata; Aves; Anseriformes; Anatidae. The record is from RNAcentral.